AGGAUGGAGUUCGAGAAGCGGAAGGCGGCGGUCAUGGCGACGCUAGCGGCGCAGGCGCCGGACAAAUCGCCGAAGGGGGCGGUGGACGCGCCCAUCGUCCCCGUCCUCGACGCCCUCAACCGCCACCACUCAUACUUCACUACAAGCUCUUGCUCCGGCCGCAUCUCCAUCCUCGCCCACGGCCGUCGCCCGGCCCCCGACGCCGGAGCCGUUGAAGGCGACGGAAAUAAGACUGCGUCUAAGAAGAAGGCCGCCGGCGGCAGUUGGCUCUUCGUCAGCCACGACCCUGCCGACCCGGCCGCCGUCGUCGACCUUCUCUUCGGCGGCCCUGAGAAGUCCGUAGAGGGGGAUCUGGUGUUCCGUUUUGAGCCUCUAAUCAUCGCGGUCGAGUGCCGGGAUGUCGCUGCGGCGCAGGUGCUCGUUUCCACCGCGAUUUCUUGUGGGUUUAGAGAGUCGGGAAUAACAAACACUCAAAAGCGUAUUAUGGUUGCUAUAAGAUGUUCUAUUCGUUUGGAGGUGCCACUGGGACAAAUGGAUCAUAUUCUGGUGACAGCACAGUAUGUCCAUUACCUUGUUUCUAUUGCUAAUGAUAAGAUGGAAGUAAAUAGAAAAAGAACAGAAAGCUUUCUCCACGUUUUGCAAUGCAAGGGCCUCUCAGGAUCAUCAAAGGAAAUUAUCGAUUGUAGCCAAGAGGAUUGCAAUCAGAAGGUUGGCAAAGGGAAUUCAUUAGAUAUUGAAGCCAAGACAAAUGUCUCUCGGGCUACUACAACACUAAAUAGGAAUAAAGCUGUAACACCUGGUGAGGAUAUUGGAGGGGGAAGCAGAUUCAAGUCUGCUGGGCAUUUGGAAGAGAAAGGCAUUGAUGCUACUCCUAAGGAAUUGUUAGAAGAAUCAGUCCAUUAUCAUGAAGUGGAAACUGGAUACUCUGAAAUGGCUACUGGCACCGAUUAUAAUUUAGAGAUAUCAGGAACUUCCAGGAGCUCUCUUUCAGUUGUCAUGUUAAAGAUUGUUGGUGAACCAAUUGAAAAGCUCUCCCUAUGGGGUCAGUCAGCUUGUGCUUUAAAUAUCAAAGGAAAGGAACAGGUAAUUGUCUUUGGUGGUUUCGGAGGUUUGGGACGUCAUGCACGAAGUAAUUAUUCACUUUUGCUGGAUCCUCAAUCUGGACUGUUGAGAAAAAUUGAAGUUGCAAGUUCACCACCUCCACGUAUGGGUCAUACGUCUUCACUUGUGGGGAGCAGUAUUUUUGUUAUUGGAGGAAGGGCUGGUCCCUUGGAGAUUCUUAAUGAUGUGUGGGUUCUUGAAACUACUGAAAAUCGAUGGUCUUUACUAGAUUGUAGUGGCCAAGUCUUUAAUCCAAGGCACCGCCAUGCAGCUGUGACUAUGGACUCAAAAAUAUAUGUCUUUGGUGGACUUAAUAACGAAGUGAUCUACUCCUGCAUGAAUGUUCUAGACACUCAAACCAUGAAGUGGAGUGAGGUUAACAUCUCUGGAGAAUGGCCUUGUGCUCGUCAUUCACAUUCUAUGGUUGCAAUUGGCUCUCAGUUGUUCAUGUUUGGGGGUUAUGAUGGUGAGAAGGCACUAGGUGAUCUCUACAGUUUUGAUGUCAAAACUUUACGGUGGAAAAGGGAAAAGACAACAGGAAGAGCUCCUUUUCCUAGAUUUUCACAUUCAAUGUUUGUGUACAAAACUUAUCUUGGCAUUAUAGGCGGCUGUCCUGUGAGGCAACACUAUCAAGAGUUGAGUUUGCUGAACCUGACUUGUCAUGUUUGGGUGCAUGUGACCAUUGACUCUUUUGGUAGAGAACUUUGGGUUCGAAGCUCCACCUGUGUAGUCGAUGAUGAACUUGUUAUUAUUGGUGGUGGAGCAUCAUGCUAUGCAUUUGGGACAAAGUUUAACCAGCCAAUGAAAAUAAACUUACAAUUGUUAGAAUCUACUGGUUACCUCUGCCCUGAAACAGAAUAUCAGUCGGUUAUACAAUAUAACAAGACAAACAUGCUCGGGAGUUCACUCUGCAACAAUUAUCCACGUGGAGCCUCUUGUGAUUCCGAACCAAACAAAUUGGUUGAUAGGUCUUGUAAUGGAAAUGGGCAUGAUGCUAAAGAGUAUGUUCUACAAAUCAAGAAAAAUUGUGCUAAAUUUGCCAAGGAUGUAAUCAAGAAGUUUGGAUAUCUGGAUCUCUCAAGAAAUGUUCAACCAAGUCCACAUGGCUUCUAUAUUUGUUUACCAAUCACUCGGGAAUUUUAUGGUUUAGUACAGGAAAAGCAACUGACUCAACUAAAUGACACUAAUGACUAUUCUGAUAACUUCCAUGCAUAUCUGAAGGACCUUUCUGUAAAUGAGGUCUCUCUGUCAACAGCAUUGAGCAUCUUGUUAUCAUGUGGAGGUUCUUUACUAAUAGACAAUGUAGCCUGCAGCAAGAAGUUUCACAAAUCUCCACAAAAGACACUGAGAGAAUCUGUGUGCUCUUUGUUAACUGAAAAAGGGAUGCCUUUACAACUGUUGGAGCAGAUACCUGCAAGGUGGGAGCAUCUAGGGGACAUUAUUGUUCUUCCAAAAACUGCUUUUAUGGAUCCUAGAUGGGAUUCUGUUGGAGAAGAACUUUGGCCUAUUGUUGCUAAAUCUCUUGGUGCCCAGCGGUUAGCACGUCAAGGUCGAAUUUUGCCGACUGGGACAAGGGACAGCACAUUAGAAAUUCUUCUAGGAGAGAAUGGCUGGGUGACACAUCACGAAAAUGGAAUCAUCUACUCCUUUGAUGCAACAAAAUGCAUGUUUUCUUCAGGGAACCUCUCUGAAAAGUGUCGCAUUGCUCAAUUGGAUUGUGCAGAUGAAAUUAUUGUGGAUUUGUUUGCUGGAAUUGGAUAUUUUGUUCUUCCAUUUCUUGUUAAAGCUAGGGCAAAGCUGGCUUAUGCAUGCGAGUGGAAUCCUCAUGCCAUAGAGGCUCUUCAGCAAAAUGUUCAUAUCAAUUCUGUGGCCGACCGAUGCAUCAUACUUGAGGGAGAUAAUCGCAUUACAGCUCCUAGAGGGGUUGCUAAUCGUGUCUGCCUUGGUCUCCUACCUUCAAGUGAGUGCAGCUGGAAUGUUGCUGUAAGGGCUUUGAGGGCUGAAGGCGGCAUCCUUCAUGUGCAUGGAAAUGUCAAUGACUCCGAAGAGUCCUCAUGGUUGGAUUAUGUCGUAAAAUCCAUAAGCAACAUCGCCUGUUCUGAAGGUUUACUUUGGGAUGUCUCAAUACACCACCUGGAGCGAGUAAAGUGGUAUGGACCUCACAUACGGCAUCUUGUUGCCGACAUAAGAUGCAAACAAUUGUAGAUUAGAUGUGCGCAAACAAAUUUCAAAUUUUGGAAGUGAAGCAGAUGUAGUGAGUGUCUUACAACAUCAGAGUUGCCCGGAGGAAGAACAAUUCUCUGAACCACUUUGAUAAGAUCAAACUCAGCCAGCUUUGGCUUCAGCUACUUGUAGAUUUUGAAGAGCUACUGCUCGUGGAUUCAUUAAACCUUAUUUAAGAGCUCUGAAUACAACAUGGUCC
Molecule: RNA transcript, 3523 nt
Organism: Musa acuminata AAA Group (dessert banana)
Lineage: Eukaryota; Viridiplantae; Streptophyta; Magnoliopsida; Zingiberales; Musaceae
Gene name: tRNA wybutosine-synthesizing protein 2/3/4-like
Exons: 12
Source: RefSeq, a predicted model, not a curated record